RNAcentral lists this ribosomal RNA (896 nucleotides) under Synalpheus aff. brevifrons KMH-2014. Its description in RNAcentral is "bacterial SSU rRNA". It matches the Rfam family "Eukaryotic small subunit ribosomal RNA", at positions 559 to 1429 of the family's 1831-position model. The record is from RNAcentral. Lineage: Eukaryota; Metazoa; Arthropoda; Malacostraca; Decapoda; Alpheidae.
AUCUGGUGCCAGCAGCCGCGGUAAUUCCAGCUCCAAUAGCGUAUAUUAAAGUUGUUGCGGUUAAAAAGCUCGUAGUCUGAGGUCUGUUGGGGACUGGCUGGGGAGGUCACCGCCCGGUGCUUGCCCGUCAGGUUCCGAACAGCUUCUGCCGCGAGCGGAAGCCAAGCCGGUUCUGCCGGGGUGCUCUUGACCGAGUGUCCCGCGCGGCCGGCCGGUUCACCUUGAACAAAUGAGAGUGCUCAAAGCAGGCUACUCUUAAAACUAAAGCCUGAAUGUUAACUGCAUGGAAUGAUGGAAGAUGAUCUCGGUUCCAUUUUGCUGGUGCUGGGAAUCCGAGUUAAUGAUAAACAGGGACUGUCGGGGGCAUCCGUACUACGACGCGAGAGGUGAAAUUCAGUGACCGUCGUAGGACGAACAACAGCGAAAGCAUUUGCCAAGAAUGUCUUCGUUGAUCAAGAACGAAAGUUAGAGGAUCGAAGGCGAUCAGAUACCGCCCUAGUUCUAACCCUAAACGAUGCUGACUAGCAAUUCGCCGUCGUUAUUCCCAUGACGUGGCGAGACGCCCCCGGGAAACCUCAAGUCUUUGAGUUCCGGGGGUAGUAUGGUUGCAAAACUGAAACUUAAAGGAAUUGACGGAAGGGCACCACCAGGAGUGGAGCCUGCGGCUUAAUUUGACUCAACACGGGAAACCUCACCAGGCCCGGACACCAGAAGGAUUGACAGAUUAAGAGCUCUUUCUCGAUUUGGUGGGUGGUGGUGCAUGGCCGUUCUUAGUUGGUGGAGUGAUUUGUCUGGUUAAUUCCGGUAACGAACGAGACUCUGGCCUACUAACUAGUGGAUGGGUAACUUUAUAAUGGAGCCCAUCCGAUAAUGUCUUCUAGAGGGAUGAGCAGCGA